GGCCUGAACGCUGGCGGCGUGGCUAAGACAUGCAAGUCGUACGGGUGUAGCAAUACACCAGUGGCGAACGGGUGAGUAAUGUAUCGCUAACGUGCCCUCCAGUCCGGGAUAGCCGGGGGAAACUUCGGGUAAUACCGGUUGACAUCACGAGCAGGCAUCUGUUUGUGCUCAAAGGGAAACCGCUGGAGGAGCGGGCGAUAUCGUAUCAGCUAGUUGGCGGGGUAACGGCCCACCAAGGCGACGACGCGUAGCCGGACUGAGAGGUUGGCCGGCCACAUUGGGACUGAGACACUGCCCAGACUCCUACGGGGGCUGCAGUAACGAAUCUUCCGCAAUGCACGCAAGUGUGACGGAGCGACGCCGCGUGUGGGACGAAGCCCCUCGGGGUGUAAACCACUGUCAGGGGUAAGAAAGUUCUGAUCUACCCCAGAGAAAGGCACAGCUAACUCUGUGCCAGCAGCCGC
This 464-nucleotide ribosomal RNA is filed under the name uncultured bacterium. RNAcentral describes it as "SSU rRNA". It matches the Rfam family "Bacterial small subunit ribosomal RNA", at positions 30 to 518 of the family's 1533-position model. The record is from RNAcentral.